CUGAGUUAGGGUCUUUCUGGCCCGACCUCCAACCCUUUGUUUACUAUACCCAAUGUUGCUUUGGCGGGCCUGCCUUUUGGGGCUGCCGGGGGCAUUACUGCCCUUGACCUGUGCCUGCCAGGAGCCUUCUUUAAAUUCUGUGUUCAACUGUGUUGUCUGAGUCCCAAUAUCAAAAUAUCAA
RNAcentral lists this unclassified non-coding RNA (181 nucleotides) under uncultured Herpotrichiellaceae. RNAcentral's name for it is "sequence contains ITS1". Lineage: Eukaryota; Fungi; Ascomycota; Eurotiomycetes; Chaetothyriales; Herpotrichiellaceae. The record is from RNAcentral.